RNAcentral lists this long non-coding RNA (871 nucleotides) under Cyanistes caeruleus (blue tit). RNAcentral's name for it is "lncRNA (ENSCCEG00000006950.1)". The record is from RNAcentral. Lineage: Eukaryota; Metazoa; Chordata; Aves; Passeriformes; Paridae.
AGCAUCUCCCCACAUCCUGCUAAUGGCAGUGCCUCCCCCAGGUCACCAAAGACCACAAUAAAUUAUUAUUAAUUACAACAGGACCAACAGUGGUGACAGUGGGCCCCAGUGUAGGGGCAGCCACCCUCGGUGGCCGUAGGAGGUGCCCAGCUGCCCACCACGAAGGGCUUCCCCAAGGCUUCACACCACACACCCCUCCAGAGAUACGGUUCCCACACAAAAUACAGCCGCCUCCAGAGCAGCUGUCCUGCAGCUGCUGUCACCCAGAAAUUUCCACAAAAAAACCUCUAUCCAGCAGCACUUGCCUGGGGUAUGGAGCCACGGCAGGGUGGUGCCUGCACCACCUUCCUUGCUUCAAGCCACACUCAGCAGGAAAGCUGAAAUGUCGUGAUCAGAGCUCACAGGAUGGGGUGGUGGAGAAUUUCAUUCCCUCUCUCCACAAAGCCCAGGCCAGCCGGUGAACGUGAGCCAACGCCACUCAGCAAAGCCACCCCUGGCCCCCCGCCAGCUACUCCUGAUGAAUGAGCUGCGACACACUCAAAGGUGCAUCCAACGCAGUUGCCUUGGUGUCACUCCACAGCAUUUCUGUCCUUGGCCCUUUGAAUGUGGAACGACUUUCCCACAGGUGGCUACUAUGUUCUAAUACUCAUGUCUACAGAGGAGUCCAAACACUGAAACUGGAGUUAUGUGAGAUGGUACAUGUGCAAGAGAGGAUGGAAAAGACUUGUAGUGGAGAAGUUUCAAGUGGAGGAUUGAUGGCCUGUGAUCGUGAAGCCAAAUCACUCGCUAUACUUGCUUUGCACUACACGAUUUCCUGCUGUUGUUUCUAGUUACAGUAGAUAAUAAAAAAUGUUACAAAACCCUCUUAACA